RNAcentral lists this ribosomal RNA (645 nucleotides) under uncultured Vibrio sp. Its description in RNAcentral is "bacterial SSU rRNA". It matches the Rfam family "Bacterial small subunit ribosomal RNA", at positions 56 to 681 of the family's 1533-position model. The record is from RNAcentral. Lineage: Bacteria; Pseudomonadati; Pseudomonadota; Gammaproteobacteria; Vibrionales; Vibrionaceae.
UGCAGUCGAGCGGAAACGACUUAACUGAACCUUCGGGGAACGUUAAGGGCGUCGAGCGGCGGACGGGUGAGUAAUGCCUGGGAAAUUGCCCUGAUGUGGGGGAUAACCAUUGGAAACGAUGGCUAAUACCGCAUAAUAGCUUCGGCUCAAAGAGGGGGACCUUCGGGCCUCUCGCGUCAGGAUAUGCCCAGGUGGGAUUAGCUAGUUGGUGAGGUAAGGGCUCACCAAGGCGACGAUCCCUAGCUGGUCUGAGAGGAUGAUCAGCCACACUGGAACUGAGACACGGUCCAGACUCCUACGGGAGGCAGCAGUGGGGAAUAUUGCACAAUGGGCGCAAGCCUGAUGCAGCCAUGCCGCGUGUAUGAAGAAGGCCUUCGGGUUGUAAAGUACUUUCAGCAGUGAGGAAGGUGGUGCAGUUAAUAGCUGUAUCAUUUGACGUUAGCUGCAGAAGAAGCACCGGCUAACUCCGUGCCAGCAGCCGCGGUAAUACGGAGGGUGCGAGCGUUAAUCGGAAUUACUGGGCGUAAAGCGCAUGCAGGUGGUUCGUUAAGUCAGAUGUGAAAGCCCGGGGCUCAACCUCGGAAUUGCAUUUGAAACUGGCGGACUAGAGUACUGUAGAGGGGGGUAGAAUUUCAGGUGUAGCGG